RNAcentral lists this ribosomal RNA (1346 nucleotides) under uncultured bacterium. Its description in RNAcentral is "partial 16S ribosomal RNA". It matches the Rfam family "Bacterial small subunit ribosomal RNA", at positions 28 to 1381 of the family's 1533-position model. The record is from RNAcentral.
GACGAACGCUGGCGGCGUGCUUAACACAUGCAAGUCGAACGGAAAGGCCCUGCUUUUGUGGGGUGCUCGAGUGGCGAACGGGUGAGUAACACGUGAGUAACCUGCCCUUGACUUUGGGAUAACUUCAGGAAACUGGGGCUAAUACCGGAUAGGAGCUCCUGCCGCAUGGUGGGGGUUGGAAAGUUUCGGCGGUUGGGGAUGGACUCGCGGCUUAUCAGCUUGUUGGUGGGGUAGUGGCUUACCAAGGCUUUGACGGGUAGCCGGCCUGAGAGGGUGACCGGCCACAUUGGGACUGAGAUACGGCCCAGACUCCUACGGGAGGCAGCAGCGGGGAAUAUUGCACAAUGGGCGGAAGCCUGAUGCAGCAACGCCGCGUGCGGGAUGACGGCCUUCGGGUUGUAAACCGCUUUCGCCUGUGACGAAGCGUGAGUGACGGUAAUGGGUAAAGAAGCACCGGCUAACUACGUGCCAGCAGCCGCGGUGAUACGUAGGGUGCGAGCGUUGUCCGGAUUUAUUGGGCGUAAAGGGCUCGUAGGUGGUUGAUCGCGUCGGAAGUGUAAUCUUGGGGCUUAACCCUGAGCGUGCUUUCGAUACGGGUUGACUUGAGGAAGGUAGGGGAGAAUGGAAUUCCUGGUGGAGCGGUGGAAUGCGCAGAUAUCAGGAGGAACACCAGUGGCGAAGGCGGUUCUCUGGGCCUUUCCUGACGCUGAGGAGCGAAAGCGUGGGGAGCGAACAGGCUUAGAUACCCUGGUAGUCCACGCUGUAAACGGUGGGUACUAGGUGUGGGGUCCAUUCCACGGGUUCCGUGCCGUAGCUAACGCUUUAAGUACCCCGCCUGGGGAGUACGGCCGCAAGGCUAAAACUCAAAGGAAUUGACGGGGCCCCGCACAAGCGGCGGAGCAUGCGGAUUAAUUCGAUGCAACGCGUAGAACCUUACCUGGGUUUGACAUGGAUCGGGAGUGCUCAGAGAUGGGUGUGCCUCUUUUGGGGUCGGUUCACAGGUGGUGCAUGGCUGUCGUCAGCUCGUGUCGUGAGAUGUUGGGUUAAGUCCCGCAACGAGCGCAACCCUUGUUCACUGUUGCCAGCACGUUAUGGUGGGGACUCAGUGGAGACCGCCGGGGUCAACUCGGAGGAAGGUGGGGAUGACGUCAAGUCAUCAUGCCCCUUAUGUCCAGGGCUUCACGCAUGCUACAAUGGCUGGUACAGAGAGUGGCGAGCCUGUGAGGGUGAGCGAAUCUCGGAAAGCCGGUCUCAGUUCGGAUUGGGGUCUGCAACUCGACCUCAUGAAGUCGGAGUCGCUAGUAAUCGCAGAUCAGCAACGCUGCGGUGAAUACGUUCCCGGGGCU